Molecule: long non-coding RNA, 1407 nt
Organism: Helianthus annuus (common sunflower)
Lineage: Eukaryota; Viridiplantae; Streptophyta; Magnoliopsida; Asterales; Asteraceae
Exons: 2
Source: RefSeq, a predicted model, not a curated record
AAAACAUAAAGCUUAAUAGUACCUUACAUCAAAAUAAAACACAAUACUUAAAAAUUUACAUAACAUAAAACCUAAAAAUUUAAAACUAAAACAUAGGUCGAAAUAAUUCGUCACGCCGCUACGUGGUUAAAGUCCUUGUUGUAGUGGUGUUUGUAGUCAAUUAGUGCCACUGUAAUAACUUCCUCCUCAGAGAGCUCGUUGUGGGGAUUUGGCACAUUCAAGAACCUACCAUGGAAUCUUGAAAUCUUGUAACAGAUAAACGCGAAUGAUGAAUCUAUUGGAUCCACGGUUCGAUUGGCCUCACCAACAUGGGUUACAAAUUGGCAGUGCACCGGGUUCCAAAAAGUGGUCCGUCGAGUAGGAGAUGUGGGUUCGUGAUGGAUUGCUACAUAAGACAACGAUAACACGAUAUCUUCCUCUUCGGUCCACGAGAUUGCCAUAUUAAGUUUUGUGAAUAUGAAAGAUGGAAGUGGUAUAUGAAAAAAUAUAAAAAUGGAGAGUUUUGUGGGUUGGUUAGAUAGUAUGGGUGGUUAAAUAGAAGAAGGGUAAGUAUUUGAAUUUGAAUACUUUUUUUAAAUCAAAUGGUCAAAUACUAAAUUAAACGGUCAAAAAAAUCUCGAACAAAGCGAAUCUCAAGCGGGUUUAGGUGUUGGCCAAGCCAACCGCCACCCUAUCCGUGGUGGUGGCGGCGGUGUGCUGGCCCGGGUUGAAACCCGGGGAAGCCUACCCGCUUGGUACCCGACCCUCUCUAGCUGAUACUCGUUGUCUUCCUCUCUCUAGCUGUUCACACUCUCUUGUAGUACUAGAAUGAUAAUUAGAUUGAUGUAGAAUAGAAUAACUAUGUGAAAUUGAAUGAAUGAGAUUGUUGUGUGAUCAUAAACUCAUGGAACAUGCUUUAUAGACUUGUACCUUGUACCAUAUCCAUAAUGCCUACCAUGUGUUCGAUAAAAUGCCUAAAUGAGGAAUGUAUGUGUAUUUUGGAAAAAUGGUAGAAUGAAGCGAUAAACUAAACAAAGGAAUGAAUGUCGUGAUGUAGGCAUAAAGGAAGAAGGUACAAGCACCAAGAAACCGGAAGGCGCGCAAGAUCGAGGUAAAGCACCUCUUUAGGCGAUUUGGAGAUAUGGGACGAGCACAUGUUCAAGCCUUAUGAUACCAAGCGCUUCCGCAACUUAUAUGCAUGCUUUUGGGUCAUGUUUAUUACUUGUUAAACUUGUUGAAAUGUUUUAGGAUUGAAAACUUGUUGUUUUUGUUGGGAUGGUUUUAUGUUAAAUAGGUCGUAGUGUAAACGUUGUAAGUUAUGUCAAAACAGGGGGUAUGCUCGUUUUACAAACGGGUCAUGCCCAAAUUUUGUAAAAAUUUUCUAUUAAGUGUCAAAAUUGUAUUUCAAUGUCCGAAAGAUCUUGCUUA